This is a non-coding RNA of Pelobates cultripes (western spadefoot toad), 483 nucleotides long. The record is from the annotation of a GenBank genome assembly. Lineage: Eukaryota; Metazoa; Chordata; Amphibia; Anura; Pelobatidae.
UGUCAUUAUGGAGAUCAUCUACCUGCUGACUGGAGAGGUGAGGGAUUCUGGGUAAUGUCAUUAUGGAGAUCAUCUACUUGCUGGCUGGAGAGGUGAGGGAUUCUGGGUAAUGUCAUUAUGGAGAUCAUCUACCUGCUGGCUGGAGAGGUGAGGGAUUCUGGGUAAUGUCAGUAUGGAGAUCAUCUACCUGCUGACUGGAGAGGUGAGGGAUUCUGGGUAAUGUCACUAUGGAGAUCAUCUACCUGCUGACUGGAGAGGUGAGGGAUUCUGGGUAAUGUCAGUAUGGAGAUCUUCUACCUGCUGACUGGAGAGGUGAGGGAUUCUGGGUAAUGUCAUUAUGGAGAUCAUCUACCUGCUGGCUGGGGAGGUGAGGGAUUCUGGGUAAUGUCAGUCUGGAGAUCAUCUACCUGCUGACUGGAGAGGUGAGGGAUUCUGGGUAAUGUCAUUAUGGAGAUCAUCUACCUGCUGACUGGGGAGGUGAGG